RNAcentral lists this ribosomal RNA (496 nucleotides) under uncultured archaeon. RNAcentral's name for it is "bacterial SSU rRNA". It matches the Rfam family "Archaeal small subunit ribosomal RNA", at positions 89 to 586 of the family's 1478-position model. The record is from RNAcentral.
CUCAGUAACACGUGGAUAACCUGCCCUUAGGACUGGCAUAACCCCGGGAAACUGGGGAUAAUUCCGGAUAGUUCAUGGUAGCUGGAAUGCUCCAUGAUCGAAAGCUAUUGCGCCUAAGGAUGGGUCUGCGGUCUAUCAGGUAGUAGUGGGUGUAAUGUACCUACUAGCCGACGACGGAUACGGGUUGUGGGAGCAAGAGCCCGGAGAUGGAUUCUGAGACAUGAAUCCAGGCCCUACGGGGCGCAGCAGGCGCGAAAACUUUACAAUGCGGGAAACCGCGAUAAGGGGACACCGAGUGCCAGCAUCUUAUGUUGGCUGUCCGCAUGUAUAAAUCACAUGUGUUAGCAAGGGCCGGGCAAGACCGGUGCCAGCCGCCGCGGUAACACCGGCGGCCCGAGUGGUGGCCACUAUUAUUGGGUCUAAAGGGUCCGUAGCCGGUUUGGUCAGUCUUCCGGGAAAUCUGACGGCUUAACCGUUAGGCUUUCGGGGGAUACUA